RNAcentral lists this ribosomal RNA (231 nucleotides) under uncultured bacterium. Its description in RNAcentral is "partial 16S ribosomal RNA". It matches the Rfam family "Bacterial small subunit ribosomal RNA", at positions 30 to 268 of the family's 1533-position model. The record is from RNAcentral.
UUGAACGCUGGCGGCAUGCCUUACACAUGCAAGUCGAACGGUAGAGGGGCAACCCUUGAGAGUGGCGAACGGGUGAGUAAUAUAUCGGAACGUGCCCAGUCGUGGGGGAUAACGCAGCGAAAGCUGCGCUAAUACCGCAUACGAUCUAUGGAUGAAAGCGGGGGAUCGCAAGGCCUCGCGCGAUUGGAGCGGCCGAUAUCAGAUUAGGUAGUUGGUGGGGUAAAAGCCCAC